This 274-nucleotide ribosomal RNA is filed under the name uncultured bacterium. RNAcentral's name for it is "partial 16S ribosomal RNA". It matches the Rfam family "Bacterial small subunit ribosomal RNA", at positions 523 to 796 of the family's 1533-position model. The record is from RNAcentral.
CCACGGAGGGCGCAAGCGUUGCUCGGAAUCACUGGGCGUAAAGCGGGUGUAGGCGGUCUAGCAAGUCAGAUGUGAAAGCCCACGGCUCAACCGUGGAAGUGCGUCUGAAACUGCUAGACUUGAGUGCCGGAGAGGGAAGUGGAAUUCCUGGUGUAGGGGUGAAAUCCGUAGAUAUCAGGAGGAACACCGGUGGCGAAGGCGACUUCCUGGACGGCCACUGACGCUGAGACCCGAAAGCGUGGGGAGCAAACAGGAUUAGAUACCCUAGUAGUCC